AAAGAUUAAGCCAUGCAUGUCUAAGUACAUGCCGAAUUAAGGCGAAACCGCGAAUGGCUCAUUAAAUCAGUUACGGUUCCUUAGAUAUUGACUGUUUACAUGGAUAACUGUGGUAAUUCUAGAGCUAAUACAUGCACAAAAGCUUUGACCUUCGCUGGAAAAAGCGCAUUUAUUAGACCAAGACCAAUGGGGUGCCUCACGGUGCCCCUAACGGUGGUGACUCUGAAUAACUGUUGCUAAUCGCAUGGCCUAAGUGCCGGCGAUGAAUCUUUCAAGUGUCUGCCUUAUCAACUGUCGAUGGUAGGUUAUGCGCCUACCAUGGUUG
RNAcentral lists this ribosomal RNA (325 nucleotides) under uncultured fungus. RNAcentral's name for it is "SSU rRNA". It matches the Rfam family "Eukaryotic small subunit ribosomal RNA", at positions 39 to 352 of the family's 1831-position model. Lineage: Eukaryota; Fungi. The record is from RNAcentral.